Molecule: long non-coding RNA, 476 nt
Organism: Daktulosphaira vitifoliae (grape phylloxera)
Lineage: Eukaryota; Metazoa; Arthropoda; Insecta; Hemiptera; Phylloxeridae
Exons: 2
Source: RefSeq, a predicted model, not a curated record
AUAUNGUGUUGCCAGCGUGUGAUGAGCAGGGUGGGGUGAAUGCGUUACGAUAGUCUAGUCUCAACGACGGGAUACGUGGGAAUAAUAACAUGUGGCGCGUGGAGAUUUACAAACAUACGUACAUACAGGAGAAAAACUGAGAUAAGUUGCCAAAAAGUCGUUAUUUUGAAAAUUUGAACAUUUUAAAUCUUAUGUUAGUAUAUAAGUAAAGAACAAAAAUAUAUUAUAAUACAGAAUAGUGAUAUGAUGUAAACAAAAUAAAUAUAAGCAUUUAUCGUGAACCCAUAAAUGUUUUAUAAAUAUUAGUUAUAAGGAAUUUAUUGUAACAUUAGUAAGUAUUAUACUAAUACUUAGAAAGUAACCAUUAAUACUGUAAAUUUCAUGUUAAUUAUAUCCUUAAUUGUUAAAGACAUUGUUCCUAAUAAAAAGGGAUCUGACUACUGAUUCAGUAGUCAGUGAUCAAUCAGUGAAUGUUA